UCCCUGGUAGUCUAGUGGUUUGGACUCAGCGCUUUCACUGCUGAGGGUCUGGGUUCGAUGCCUGGUCAAGGAA
RNAcentral lists this transfer RNA (73 nucleotides) under Ovis aries (sheep). It matches the Rfam family "tRNA". From Rfam's summary of the family: Transfer RNA (tRNA) molecules are approximately 80 nucleotides in length. Their secondary structure includes four short double-helical elements and three loops (D, anti-codon, and T loops). The record is from Rfam by way of RNAcentral. Lineage: Eukaryota; Metazoa; Chordata; Mammalia; Artiodactyla; Bovidae.